UGAGAGAGAGAUAGAGAGUUGAACAAAUUCUUCAUAGCAACUAGGGGAAGGAUCCAAAGGGAUCGCAUUGAUCCUAAUUAAGGUGAAUUCUCCCCAUAUUUCCUUUAUAAUUGGCAAAUAAAUCACAAAAAUUUGCUUGGUUUUGGAUCAUGCUAUCUCUUUGGAUUCAUCCUUCGGUAGCUUCCUCUUCGAUCGUAUGGCAAAUUUCUCAACUAUCAUGGAUACUUCACCGGGAACUUUGCUGGCUUUAAGAUUCCGCAACCUUGUAUCUCAAGCCUACAACAGUAUACGAACUCUCUUCUUACAAUUUUCAUUUUUUAAAAGGUAAGUUUCAAAGAAUUUUGACCU
Molecule: precursor RNA, 348 nt
Filed under: Arabidopsis thaliana (thale cress)
Lineage: Eukaryota; Viridiplantae; Streptophyta; Magnoliopsida; Brassicales; Brassicaceae
Description: partial precursor microRNA 393a
Rfam family: mir-393 microRNA precursor family (bases 43-174)
Source: RNAcentral